AGUACGAUCGCAAGAUUAAAACUCAAAGGAAUUGACGGGGCCCCGCACAAGCAGCGGAGCAUGCGGCUCAAUUCGACGCAACGCGAAGAACCUUACCAAGGCUUGACAUAUAGGGAAAAGUGGCAGAGAUGUCAUGUCCGCAAGGGCUCUAUACAGGUGGUGCAUGGUUGUCGUCAGCUCGUGUCGUGAGAUGUUGGGUUAAGUCCCGCAACGAGCGCAACCCUCGUUCUGUGUUGCCAGCAUUUAGUUGGGGACUCACAGGAGACUGCCGGGGUUAACUCGGAGGAAGGUGGGGAUGACGUCAAAUCAUCAUGCCCCUUAUGUCUUGGGCUGCACGCAUGCUACAAUGGCCGGUACAGAGGGCUGCAAUACCGUAAGGUGGAGCGAAUCCCAAAAAGCCGGUCUCAGUUCGGAUUGAGGUCUGCAACUCGACCUCAUGAAGUUGGAGUUGCUAGUAAUCGUAGAUCAGCAACGCUACGGUGAAUACGUUCCCGGGGCUUGUACACACCGCCCGUCACGUCACGAAAGUCGGUAACACCCAAAGUCAGUGGCCCAACCGCAAGGGGGGAGCUGCCUAAGGUGGGAUCGGUGAUUGGGACG
RNAcentral lists this ribosomal RNA (600 nucleotides) under uncultured bacterium. RNAcentral's name for it is "bacterial SSU rRNA". It matches the Rfam family "Bacterial small subunit ribosomal RNA", at positions 879 to 1482 of the family's 1533-position model. The record is from RNAcentral.